GCUCCCUUUCAGAGAAGGUUGUGCCCCUGCUACUCUUCAUUUCCUCCCUCGAUAAACCUCUCUGGAUCAAGCAUGCAAGAAGCCCUCCUGCUCUUCAUUCUGUGAUAUUUUUAAUGGCAGCUUUGCAAGUCUUGGAAUGCUUUCUUCAUAGGGAAGGGAAGAGAAGGGAAACAUGCUAGUAUGAAAAGCUUUAUCAGACAAGCUUCUGGGAACACAGUCUGAACUACAUGCCACAGUCUGGGAACACAGUCUGAAGUAAUACAACAAGGGUAACAAAAAUAUUAUUGCUUCCUGCCAAACACUACCUUGC
Molecule: long non-coding RNA, 310 nt
Organism: Motacilla alba alba
Lineage: Eukaryota; Metazoa; Chordata; Aves; Passeriformes; Motacillidae
Exons: 3
Source: RefSeq, a predicted model, not a curated record